UACGGAAGGCAGCAGUGGGGAAUAUUGCACAAUGGGCGCAAGCCUGAUGCAGCCAUGCCGCGUGUAUGAAGAAGGCCUUCGGGUUGUAAAGUACUUUCAGUCGUGAGGAAGGUGUUAAGGUUAAUAACCUUAGCAAUUGACGUUAGCGACAGAAGAAGCACCGGCUAACUCCGUGCCAGCAGCCGCGGUAAUACGGAGGGUGCGAGCGUUAAUCGGAAUUACUGGGCGUAAAGGGCACGCAGGCGGCUAAUUAAGUUGGAUGUGAAAUCCCCGGGCUUAACCUGGGAAUGGCAUUCAAGACUGGUUAGCUAGAGUCUUGUAGAGGGGGUAGAAUUCCAUGUGUAGCGGUGAAAUGCGUAGAGAUGUGGAGGAAUACCGGUGGCGAAGGCGGCCCCUGGGACAAAGACUGACGCUCAUGUGCGAAAGCGUGGGGAGCAAACAGGAUUAGAUACC
This 453-nucleotide ribosomal RNA is filed under the name uncultured bacterium. RNAcentral's name for it is "bacterial SSU rRNA". It matches the Rfam family "Bacterial small subunit ribosomal RNA", at positions 340 to 786 of the family's 1533-position model. The record is from RNAcentral.